This 405-nucleotide long non-coding RNA is filed under the name Oryza brachyantha (malo sina). RNAcentral describes it as "long non-coding RNA (OBRA_LNC002438)". The record is from RNAcentral. Lineage: Eukaryota; Viridiplantae; Streptophyta; Magnoliopsida; Poales; Poaceae.
AGGAAAGGUUCUUCUAAUACUUUGGGAGUUGAGACCCUCAGCUUUAUAAUGCACAUGGAUGCAGCCCAACACCUAUAUUUUCAUUCCAUGGAUGUGUUCUUCUAUGUUCUGAACGACUGAACCAUUAGGACUCCCAGAAGGUAGCAUAUUUCUCGAUCACAAAGCUUCACUUCAUGCUUUCCAAGGCCAAAACCAUUCCUUAUCAGAAUCGGCUGCCCUUCUAUCUAGUUUCUAGUCAUGGUUGGCAAAAUGAUAAGUGAAUCUAGUGUAUGUUUAUUUACUACUGAGAGUCAUCUGUUUUGGAUUGGAAUGCAUCAAGAAAAGGCAGAAAAUAGGGUGAGCUAUCCUUCUACAUUGAUGAUAUGAGCAGGUGUCAUGAUAGCCCUGAGUGGCAAUUGGAUGGAA